This 549-nucleotide long non-coding RNA is filed under the name Capsicum annuum. RNAcentral's name for it is "long non-coding RNA (CANN_LNC009166)". The record is from RNAcentral. Lineage: Eukaryota; Viridiplantae; Streptophyta; Magnoliopsida; Solanales; Solanaceae.
CCCUAAAAAUUCCCAAAAAAAGUACAUAUCAGAUAUCAGCUAGCAAUUCUGAAUCUAAGAGUUACCAUUAUAAUAUUACUCCUACUAGAGAAUAAUAGUUUGCUAUCUAGAGAAGGUACAUCCAGAAAAAAAAUACUAUUACAAUGCCAUGGAGAAAUUUAUUUUGUUGACCAUGUUUACAUUUUUGUUUUUAAACAACGAAUCUGGGAUGAUGAAAUGUGUAGGUUAUGGGAACUACCCUUAGCCUUAGUAAGGCAAAUAACUCAUAUUUCUCUGUCCUAUUUUGCAUCACCCGCAUCAACUUGCCUAAAGCUCUAGAUGAAGAAGUCCACUGAAACAUUAAAUUUGAGUCUUCAAAGACAUCUUCUAACAAAAUGGUUGGAAAAAUUAGAAAGGGAAUAAAGAUGUAGAUACAAUUAAAAGAACAAAAAAAGAAAGAUGUAGAUACUUUCAAGAUAAGGCACAACCGUAUGAUAAAGAAUUGAUCAUAAACAUUCUAAAAUUCAAAACUUAUCCCAAAAGAAAAAGAAAAAAAAAAAAAAGUGGUGC